Molecule: ribosomal RNA, 521 nt
Filed under: Pluralibacter gergoviae
Lineage: Bacteria; Pseudomonadati; Pseudomonadota; Gammaproteobacteria; Enterobacterales; Enterobacteriaceae
Description: bacterial SSU rRNA
Rfam family: Bacterial small subunit ribosomal RNA
Source: RNAcentral
ACGAAGCUUGCUUCUUUGCUGACGAGUGGCGGACGGGUGAGUAAUGUCUGGGAAACUGCCCGAUGGAGGGGGAUAACUACUGGAAACGGUAGCUAAUACCGCAUAACGUCUUCGGACCAAAGAGGGGGACCUUCGGGCCUCUUGCCAUCGGAUGUGCCCAGAUGGGAUUAGCUAGUAGGUGGGGUAACGGCUCACCUAGGCGACGAUCCCUAGCUGGUCUGAGAGGAUGACCAGCCACACUGGAACUGAGACACGGUCCAGACUCCUACGGGAGGCAGCAGUGGGGAAUAUUGCACAAUGGGCGCAAGCCUGAUGCAGCCAUGCCGCGUGUAUGAAGAAGGCCUUCGGGUUGUAAAGUACUUUCAGCGGGGAGGAAGGGAGUGAGGUUAAUAAGCUCAUUCAUUGACGUUACCCGCAGAAGAAGCACCGGCUAACUCCGUGCCAGCAGCCGCGGUAAUACGGAGGGUGCAAGCGUUAAUCGGAAUUACUGGGCGUAAAGCGCACGCAGGCGGUCUGUCAAG